AUUGAACGCUGGCGGCAGGCCUAACACAUGCAAGUCGAGCGGAUGAAGGGAGCUUGCUCCUGGAUUCAGCGGCGGACGGGUGAGUAAUGCCUAGGAAUCUGCCUGGUAGUGGGGGAUAACGUCCGGAAACGGGCGCUAAUACCGCAUACGUCCUGAGGGAGAAAGUGGGGGAUCUUCGGACCUCACGCUAUCAGAUGAGCCUAGGUCGGAUUAGCUAGUUGGUGGGGUAAAGGCCUACCAAGGCGACGAUCCGUAACUGGUCUGAGAGGAUGAUUAGUCACACUGGAACUGAGACACGGUCCAGACUCCUACGGGAGGCAGCAGUGGGGAAUAUUGGACAAUGGGCGAAAGCCUGAUCCAGCCAUGCCGCGUGUGUGAAGAAGGUCUUCGGAUUGUAAAGCACUUUAAGUUGGGAGGAAGGGCAGUAAGUUAAUACCUUGCUGUUUUGACGUUACCAACAGAAUAAGCACCGGCUAACUUCGU
Molecule: ribosomal RNA, 483 nt
Filed under: uncultured bacterium
Lineage: Bacteria
Description: partial 16S ribosomal RNA
Rfam family: Bacterial small subunit ribosomal RNA
Source: RNAcentral